ACUCUACAACACCUGAGUCCAGCACUACAGAACAAAGUACUACAGCUGACCUCACAACACAAUUUACCAAAGUUACAUGGAAAUACAGUCAUUAACUGCUGAAAAUAAUUUGUUCUGAUGUUCAUUUCAUCGCACAUUUGUCACAAUCUCUCUCUCUCUCUCUCUCUCUUUCUCUCUCUCUCUUUCUCUCUCUCUCUCUCUCUCUCUCUCUCUCUCUCUCUCUCUCUCUCUCUCUCUCUCUCUCUCUCUCUCUCUUUCUUUCUUUCUCUCUCUCUCACUCUCUCACUCUGCUUAAGACUCUACAACACCUGAGUCCAGCACCACAGAACAAAUAACUACAGUUGAUCUCACAACACAAUUUACCACAGUUACCAGUAAAUACAAUCAAGUACUAGUAAAAAUAAUUUGUUCUGAAAUUCAGGUCUUCGCACGUUUGUCACAAUAUCUCUCUCUCCCUCGCUCCCUCGCUCCCUGUCUGUCUGUCUGUCUCUUUCUCUCUCUCUCUCUCUCUCUCUCUCUCUCUCUCUCUCUCUCUCUCUGCUUUAGACUCUACAACACCUGAGUCCAGCACCACAGAACAAAAUACUACAGCUGACCUCACAACACAACUGACCACAGUUACCAGCAAGUACUCUACAACACCUGAGUCCAGCACUACAGAACAAAAUACUACAGCUGACCUCACAACACAACUGACCACAGUUACCAACUCUACAACACCUCAGGCCAGCACUACAGAACAAAUAACUAUAGUUGAUAACACAACACAACUGACCACAGUUACCAGUAAGUAUCAUCAAGUUCUGGAGAACAAAAUGUGUGUUUCUUCCCUGCUGUAGACACUACAACAUCUGCACCCACAACAGGACAAAGUACUACAGCUGACCUCACAACACAACUGACCACAGUUACCAGUAAAUAAAAUCAAGUACUGGUGAAAAUACUUUGUUCGGAAUAUCAGUUCUUCAUAAAAUUGUCACAAUCUUUCUCUCUCUCUCUCUCUCUCUCUCUCUCUCUCUCUCUUUCUGCUUUAGACUCUACGACACCUGAGUCCAGCACUACAGAACAAAAUACUACAGCUGACCUCACAACACAACUGACCACAGUUACCAACUCUACAACACCUGAGUCCAGCACCACAGAACAAAUAACUACAGUUGAUCUCACAACACAACUGACCACAGUUACCAACUCUACAACACCUCAGGCCAGCACUACAGAACAAAUAACUGUAGUUGAUAACACAACACAACUGACCACAGUUACCAACUCUACAACACCUGAGGCCAGCACUACAGAACAAAGUACUACAGCUGACCUCACAACACAACUGACCACAGUUACCAACUCUACAACACCUGAGGCCAGCACUACAGAACAAAAUACUACAGCUGACCUCACAACACAACUGAACACAGUUACAAACUCUAGUGCACCUGCACCCACAACACAACAGAGUACUACAGCUGACCUCACAACACAACUGACCACAGUUACCAACUCUACCACACCUGAGGCCAGCACUACUGAACAAAUGACCAAAGUUACCAACUCUACAACAUCUGCACCCACAACAGGACAAAGUACUACAGCUGACCUCACAACACAACUGACCACAGUUACCAACUCUACUACACCUGCAGCUGGAACAAAACAGACCACUACAGCUGAUCCCACAACACAACCGACCACAGACACUAGUAAGUGUCAUCAAUUUCUGUAUAACAAAACCUGUCUAAAGCGGACUUCACCAAACAGACCUAACAAUCUAUGUUACUUCUCUGCUGUAGACUCUACUGCACCCACAAAUACAUGAACUACUGAAUCAACACCAGCAUUAAGUACAAAAACACCAACAACAAUUGCAAAACCUGCUGGUGUGUGUAAGAAUAGAGGAUGUUUCUGAACACUUCUAAAUGAAUCCUGACCACAUUCACCAGUAGGUGAACCAUAGUUCACCAAACAGAUCUAACAAUGUAACAGUCGGUCACUACUGUAUAUUACCGCUUUGUUGUAGCCUCUGCAACACCUACGCCCAGAACAGAACAGAGAACAACCAACACAGGUAGCACAGGUGUUGUUCUGUCAUCCACCUACAGUUUUGUACUAUAGCUUUCACCUACUGCUAUGCCAUGUGUCUCUCCCAACAGGAACUACAGCAACUACUGAACCAACACCAGCAACUACAAAAACGACACCACCACCACCAACAACAACAGCAAUACCACCACCAACACCAACAACAACAGUACCACCACCAUCACCAACAACUGCAAAACCAGCUGGUAUGUGUAAGAAUUGAAGAUGUUUCUGAACACUACUAAAUGAAUCCUGAUUAUGCCAUGAUUAUGAAAAAUCCUGAAUCAAUCAUGAAUAUUGAUGGGUGAGAAGGUUACAGAGGACACAACAAAACAUGUUAACCUCUCAGCAUUAGCGAUGGCAUUUUUGGGGGGUAUGAUCUUUGUGCCUCUGUUAAUUUCUCAGUCAUUAUUAUUCACGACUCAUUUACGAUUAUACAUAAUCAUGGUAGCAUCCACAUUAAUGUAGAAGUGUUCAGAGACAUCUUCUAAUCUUACUUACAAUAAAAGUGUCUCCAAAAUAACACAAUGCGUUAUUCACCAUUCAGUUCCUAUAGGGAAAAAUAUA
Molecule: long non-coding RNA, 2646 nt
Organism: Salmo trutta (river trout)
Lineage: Eukaryota; Metazoa; Chordata; Actinopteri; Salmoniformes; Salmonidae
Source: Ensembl